GAGAACCUCUCGCUUGCGGGAGGGAGUAAAGUGGCGAACGGGUGAGUAACGCGUGGGUAACCUGCCCUUGAAUCGGGGAUAACUCCGUGAAAACGGUGCUAAUACCGGAUAAUGUCCCGAGCUCUUUGGCGCUUGGGAUUAAAGGUGACCACUCCAUGGAAGUUGCCGUUUGGGGAGGGGCCCGCGUCCCAUUAGCUUGUUGGUGGGGUAAUGGCCUACCAAGACUACGAUGGGUAGCUGGUCUGAGAGGAUGAUCAGCCACACUGGCACUGAAACACGGGCCAGACUCCUACGGGAGGCAGCAGUGAGGAAUUUUGCGCAAUGGGGGAAACCCUGACGCAGCAACGCCGCGUGGGUGAAGAAGGCUUUCGGGUCGUAAAGCCCUGUCAGGUGGGAAGAAACUCUUCAGUACUAAUAAUGCUGAAGCCUGACGGUACCACCAGAGGAAGCACCGGCCAACUCCGUGCCAGCAGCCGCGGUAAUACGGAGGGUGCAAGCGUUGUUCGGAAUUAUUGGGCGUAAAGAGCGUGUAGGCGGUUCGGUCAGCCAGAUGUGAAAGCCCUGGGCUCAACCCAGGAAGUGCAUUUGAAACUACCAGACUUGAGUACGGGAGAGGAGGGGGGAAUUCCCGGUGUAGAGGUGAAAUUCGUAGAUAUCGGGAGGAAUACCGGUGGCGAAGGCGCCCCUCUGGACCGAUACUGACGCUGAGACGCGAAAGCGUGGGGAGCAAACAGGAUUAGAUACCCUGGUAGUCCACGCCGUAAACGAUGAGCACUAUGUGUAGCGGGUAUUGACCCCUGC
This 801-nucleotide ribosomal RNA is filed under the name uncultured bacterium. RNAcentral's name for it is "bacterial SSU rRNA". It matches the Rfam family "Bacterial small subunit ribosomal RNA", at positions 68 to 841 of the family's 1533-position model. The record is from RNAcentral.